RNAcentral lists this ribosomal RNA (546 nucleotides) under Cacopaurus pestis. RNAcentral describes it as "partial large subunit ribosomal RNA". It matches the Rfam family "Eukaryotic large subunit ribosomal RNA", at positions 421 to 813 of the family's 3401-position model. The record is from RNAcentral. Lineage: Eukaryota; Metazoa; Nematoda; Chromadorea; Rhabditida; Tylenchulidae.
GGAUAGAGCUCGCGAAGCCGUUCGUACUCAGGUGCAUAAUCGCGGGCUCAUUGCUGGUUGCAUUGUCUAACAGGAGGCUAGUGAUGUAGUCCUGUGCUAGAAGUGCAUUUACGAGCGAUUGAGCUGAGACUUGGGGAGCAGUUGCUGAACGAUCGACUAGAGGCUUCCCUCUGGGUUGAACCUUGUCGGGCUUACAGUUAUUUGCUCUGCUCGUACUGGGCUUGGCCUACGAACCCUGUUGCUUAGGCGGUGCACGGUGGUGGAGUCACAUGUGACGCUCAUUGCCGGGUGCUUUCUCUGUAGCUUGUCGUUCACAAGCCCACUCUCGGUGUAGAAGCUGGUCAGCUAUCCGACCCGUCUUGAAACACGGACCAAGGAGUUUAGCGUAUUCGCGAGCCAUUGGGCGUUCAAAACCCAUAGGCACAAUGAAAGUGAAGACCCGGUCGCUAGGCUUACAUGUGAGUGGAAAGUCUUCGCGACUAGCACUGCAGCAUGGUCCCGUUGUAAUGGUUUGCGCUGGAGCGGAGAUAGAGCGUAUGCGCUGAG